This 501-nucleotide ribosomal RNA is filed under the name uncultured Olivibacter sp. RNAcentral's name for it is "partial 16S ribosomal RNA". Lineage: Bacteria; Pseudomonadati; Bacteroidota; Sphingobacteriia; Sphingobacteriales; Sphingobacteriaceae. The record is from RNAcentral.
CACGGAGUUAGCCGAUCCUUAUUCUUACGGUACAUUCAGCCCAAUACACGUAUUGGGGGUUAUUCCCGUACAAAAGCAGUUUACAACCCGUAGGGCAGUCUUCCUGCACGCGGCAUGGCUGGUUCAGGGUUCCCCCCAUUGACCAAUAUUCCUUACUGCUGCCUCCCGUAGGAGUCUGGUCCGUGUCUCAGUACCAGUGUGGGGGAUUCUCCUCUCAGAGCCCCUAGACAUCGUCGCCUUGGUGGGCCGUUAUCCCCCCAACAAGCUAAUGUCACGCGAGCCCAUCCAUAUCCUAUAAAUAUUUAACCGCUUUCCCAUGCGGGAGCGCCGUCUCAUGCGGGCUUAAUCCGGAUUUCUCCGGGCUAUCCCCCUGAUAUGGGCAGGUUGCUCACGCGUUACGCACCCGUGCGCCACUCUCACCGGUAGCAAGCUACCGGAUCCCGUCCGACUUGCAUGUAUUAGGCCUGCCGCUAGCGUUCAUCCUGAGCCAGGAUCAAACUC